GAUCAUGGCUCAGGGCGAACGCUGGCGGCGUGCUUAACACGUGCAAGUCGAACGAGAAUCUGCGGAUCGAGGAUUCGUCCAAGUGAAGUAGAGGACAGUGGCGGACGGGUGAGUAACGCGUGAGGAACCUGCCUUUCAGAGGGGGACAACAGUUGGAAACGACUGCUAAUACCGCAUGACACAUUGGGGUCGCAUGGCCCUGAUGUCAAAGAUUUAUCGCUGAAAGAUGG
Molecule: ribosomal RNA, 230 nt
Filed under: uncultured bacterium
Lineage: Bacteria
Description: partial 16S ribosomal RNA
Rfam family: Bacterial small subunit ribosomal RNA
Source: RNAcentral